RNAcentral lists this small RNA (1648 nucleotides) under Pongo abelii (Sumatran orangutan). Its description in RNAcentral is "retained intron". The record is from RNAcentral. Lineage: Eukaryota; Metazoa; Chordata; Mammalia; Primates; Hominidae.
CGCUUCUUUCUAGGCGCGUAGGCUAUUCUCCAGUCAGCGACUGCCGUCGUCUCUCGGGCAACAGCGUCCUAGAGACGCCGAAUGGGCAGCCCCUCUGAGACCCCGCGGCUUGGGGGUCCGCGCACGCGGGUGCCGGCCCAGCUAGGCGGAGAAUCGAGGAGGGGUCCCCGGGCUCAUCACAGAGGAUUGGAAGGGCCUAGGUUACUGCCCAAUAACAAAAGUGUGGGCUUAAUGUCCUCACUCUUCAGGGAGAGAAUGUGGACUCUAGCAUUUGAACUGAAUAUCUGAAAUUGAAGAUUUCUGAAUAGGAUUUAAUGUGCAAAAUGGCGAUUAUACCGGACUGGCUUAGGUCGCAUCCUCACACACGAAAAUUUACACAUUCAAGACCCCAUUCUUCACCGUGUAGAGUAUAUUCAAGGAAUGGUUCCCCAAAUAAGUUCAGAUCUUCUUCAACCACAGCUGUUGCAAAUCCAACACUGUCCUCCUUAGAUGUUAAACGGAUUUUAUUUCAAAAAAUUGCCGACAGAGGGGAUGAGUUGCAAAAAGCCUUUCAGCUGCUGGAUACUGGUCAGAACUUGACUGUGUCAAAAAGUGAACUGAGAAGAAUCAUCACAGACUUCCUGACGCCGCUCACACGAGAACAGUUUCAGGACGUGUUGGCUCAGAUCCCCCUUAGCACCUCUGGUACUGUACCGUACCUUGCCUUUCUGUCCAGGUUUGGUGGAAUUGACCUAUAUAUAAAUGGUAUAAAGAGGGGAGGUGGGAAUGAAAUGAAUUGCUGCCGCACAUUAAGAGAACUUGAAAUCCAAGUGGGAGAAAAGGUUUUCAAAAACAUUAAGACUGUUAUGAAAGCCUUUAAGCUCAUUGAUGUUAACAAGACUGGACUGGUUCGACCGCAGGAGCUAAGAAGGGUUCUGGAGACCUUCUGUUUGAAGUUAAGAGACGAGGAAUACGAAAAGUUUUCGAAACACUACAACAUCCACAACGAUACUGCAGUAGAUUACAAUGUGUUUUUGAAGAAUCUCAGCAUAAAUAAUGACUUGAACCUUAGAUAUUGUAUGGGAAAUCAAGAGGUCUCAUUGGAGAAUCAACAAGCCAGAAAUUCCAAAAAGGAGCGUUUGCUCGGUUCUGCAUCAUCUGAAGAUAUCUGGAGAAACUACUCCUUGGAUGACAUUGAGAGGAACUUUUGUCUAGAACUUUCGAAGUCCUAUGAAAAGAUUGAAAAGGCCCUCAGUGCAGGGGACCCCUGUAAAGGUGGCUACGUGUCUUUUAAUUAUCUAAAGAUUGUCCUCGACACCUUUAUAUACCAAAUACCAAGAAGAAUUUUUAUCCAGUUAAUGAAAAGAUUUGGACUUAAAGCCACCACUAAAAUCAAUUGGAAGCAAUUUCUAACAUCAUUUCAUGAGCCUCAGGGGUUGCAAGUUAGCAAUAAAGGUCCCCUGACAAAAAGAAAUAGCAUCAACUCUAGAAGUGAAUCUCGCAAGGAAAACAUCAUCACAAAGUUAUUUAGAUGCACUGAAGAUCGCUCUGCAUCACUGAAGAAAGCAUUACUGAUAAUCAACACUGUAAGAUUUUGAAAGCCUUCUCUUGUGAAACACUCAUUGUUUCUAAGAAUGCAAACACUCAGAGUGAGACCAAUAACAACUCC